RNAcentral lists this ribosomal RNA (497 nucleotides) under uncultured bacterium. Its description in RNAcentral is "partial 16S ribosomal RNA". It matches the Rfam family "Bacterial small subunit ribosomal RNA", at positions 28 to 507 of the family's 1533-position model. The record is from RNAcentral.
GAUGAACGCUGGCGGCGUGCCUAAUACAUGCAAGUCGAGCGAACAGACGAGGAGCUUGCUCCUCUGACGUUAGCGGCGGACGGGUGAGUAACACGUGGAUAACCUACCUAUAAGACUGGGAUAACUUCGGGAAACCGGAGCUAAUACCGGAUAAUAUAUUGAACCGCAUGGUUCAAUAGUGAAAGACGGUUUUGAUGUCACUUAUAGAUGGAUCCGCGCCGCAUUAGCUAGUUGGUAAGGUAACGGCUUACCAAGGCAACGAUGCGUAGCCGACCUGAGAGGGUGAUCGCCCACACUGGAACUGAGACACGGUCCAGACUCCUACGGGAGGCAGCAGUAGGGAAUCUUCCGCAAUGGGCGAAAGCUUGACGGAGCAACGCCGCGUGAGUGAUGAAGGUCUUCGGAUCGUAAAACUCUGUUAUUAGGGAAGAACAAAUGUGUAAGUAACUAUGCACGUCUUGACGGUACCUAAUCAGAAAGCCACGGCUAACUACGUG